Long non-coding RNA from Poecilia latipinna (sailfin molly), 1122 nucleotides. RefSeq lists it as uncharacterized. The record is from RefSeq and is a predicted model, not a curated record. Lineage: Eukaryota; Metazoa; Chordata; Actinopteri; Cyprinodontiformes; Poeciliidae. The transcript has 3 exons.
GGUCCAGACUGGUGAACCGGACCUGCAGGAGGUUUCAGGCUGUAGAACCAGUUAAACUGAAGAGCUGAGAGGAAAGCGGGACAUGGAGGAACUUGAGCUGGUCGUGUUCUGGGUUCACAGGUUCUGGUUUUCUAGGUUUUCUGGUUUUCUGGUUUCAUCCCGGUUUGGGUUCUCCGGUCCGUUUCUCUCAGCCAGCUGAGCCUCUUAUCUCUCUGCUCAGGUCAGACCUGGACUCCCGUCCUGAAGCAGAUCCACAGACGGCUGACUAAGUUUAACUUUAACUGUUUUAUGGACCUUCAGGUGAAAUCUGCAGCUUCAGGACAGAAUCUGGUGAUCUGUAGAUCCCGCCUGAUCUCUGUCAGCGCUGCUCGGGAUUCUGGGAUCUGUUAUUAAUGUCUGACUGAACUGAUGGAUUAAUAAACCUGGAUUCAUCCACCCUGUUUAUUUUAGAUGCUUUAAAAGCUCAUUUUACUUCAUUCAUGUGAUUUUAUUCAGAUGUGUUUUGAAAUAUCAAAUUUAUUUCAUCGUUUUUGUUUAAGCUGCUUUUGAUGAAACUUCUGUGGAGAAACAAACUUUUUUUACAAAAAUGUAAAUAAUUCCUGUUUAUUUAUUAUUGUAUAAUUUAUUAAUUGGUCAUUAAGUUGUUAUUUAUGCCCAACAUUCAGUUAUUAUUGAUCAUUUUAUUCAUAAAGUCAAAUGAGACGCAGGCGCCCCCUGGUGGACAAACUACCAGCUGUGACCUUCUGACGUCAUUUAGUUGGAAAAAAGUCACUGAUGUUAAACUAACUGGUUUGAAUCCAGUUUGACCAGUUUAACUCAUCAGGAUCCAAACUGGGAGCCUCUGUGAAGAUUUCCUGAUAUUUUAUUUCUUUAUGCAAAUAAAAACAUGUAACUAAUGAAGCAGGUAAAAUUAUUAUCCUGAUUUUAACAUUUCAUAGCUGAUUCAUGUUUUCAUUAAAUGUUUUUGCAUCAGGAAUAAAUUCAGUUUUUGUUGCUUUAACUUCAUAAACUUUAACUGUCAGUUCAGACCAAUCUGGUCCAGGAACGCAGUGAAGCUGCUGUUGUCAUGGCAACAGCCGGUUCCGGUGGUGGGCGGGGCUUCAGGGUUCUGGUGGAUUCGGG